UGGGGAAUCAUGGUCAAUGGGCGAAAGCCUGAACCUGCGACGCCGCGUGAGUGAUGAAGGUCGUAAGAUCGUAAAACUCUUUUCAGGGAUCUUAAAGCCUGUCUGUCAACAACAGGCAGGUCUGACUCUCCCUGGAAGAAGCCCCAGCCAACUACGUGCCAGCCGCUGCGGUAAUACGUCGGGGGCGAGCGUUAUUCGGAAUUACUGGGUGUAAAGGGUAUGUAGGCGGCCCUUCAAGUCGCGUGUCAACGUCCAGUGCUCAACGCUGGG
RNAcentral lists this ribosomal RNA (270 nucleotides) under uncultured prokaryote. RNAcentral describes it as "partial 16S ribosomal RNA". It matches the Rfam family "Bacterial small subunit ribosomal RNA", at positions 355 to 619 of the family's 1533-position model. The record is from RNAcentral.